RNAcentral lists this ribosomal RNA (397 nucleotides) under uncultured bacterium. Its description in RNAcentral is "partial 16S ribosomal RNA". It matches the Rfam family "Bacterial small subunit ribosomal RNA", at positions 359 to 774 of the family's 1533-position model. The record is from RNAcentral.
GAAUCUUGCACAAUGGAGGGAACUCUGAUGCAGCGACGUCGCGUGAACGAUGAAGGCUUUCGAGUCGUAAAGUUCUGUCCUAUGGGACGAUAAUGACGGUACCAUAGGAGGAAGCCCCGGCUAACUACGUGCCAGCAGCCGCGGUAAUACGUAGGGGGCGAACGUUGUCCGGAUUUAUUGGGCGUAAAGGGUACGCAGGCGGCCAUGUAAGUCAGAUGUGAAAUCCUAGGGCUUAACCCUAGUUAGCAUUUGAAACUGUGUGGCUUGAGUUAAGGAGAGGAAAGUGGAAUUCCUAGUGUAGCGGUGAAAUGCGUAGAUAUUAGGAGGAAUACCAGUGGCGAAGGCGACUUUCUGGACUUAUACUGACGCUGAGGUACGAAAGCGUGGGGAGCAAACA